AGUGAACGCUGGCGGUAGGCCUAACACAUGCAAGUCGAACGGCAGCACAGUAAGAGCUUGCUCUUACGGGUGGCGAGUGGCGGACGGGUGAGGAAUACAUCGGAAUCUACUUUUUCGUGGGGGAUAACGUAGGGAAACUUACGCUAAUACCGCAUACGACCUACGGGUGAAAGCAGGGGAUCUUCGGACCUUGCGCGAUUGAAUGAGCCGAUGUCGGAUUAGCUAGCUGGCGGGGUAAAGGCCCACCAAGGCGACGAUCCGUAGCUGGUCUGAGAGGAUGAUCAGCCACACUGGAACUGAGACACGGUCCAGACUCCUACGGGAGGCAGCAGUGGGGAAUAUUGGACAAUGGGCGCAAGCCUGAUCCAGCCAUACCGCGUGGGUGAAGAAGGCCUUCGGGUUGUAAAGCCCUUUUGUUGGGAAAGAAAAGCAGCAGGUUAAUACCCUGCUGUUCUGACGGUACCCAAAGAAUAAGCACCGGCUAACUUCGUG
Molecule: ribosomal RNA, 492 nt
Filed under: uncultured bacterium
Lineage: Bacteria
Description: partial 16S ribosomal RNA
Rfam family: Bacterial small subunit ribosomal RNA
Source: RNAcentral